GAUGAACGCUGGCGGCGUGCCUAAUACAUGCAAGUCGAGCGAACGGACGAGAAGCUUGCUUCUCUGAUGUUAGCGGCGGACGGGUGAGUAACACGUGGAUAACCUACCUAUAAGACUGGGAUAACUUCGGGAAACCGGAGCUAAUACCGGAUAAUAUUUUGAACCGCAUGGUUCAAAAGUGAAAGACGGUCUUGCUGUCACUUAUAGAUGGAUCCGCGCUGCAUUAGCUAGUUGGUAAGGUAACGGCUUACCAAGGCAACGAUGCAUAGCCGACCUGAGAGGGUGAUCGGCCACACUGGAACUGAGACACGGUCCAGACUCCUACGGGAGGCAGCAGUAGGGAAUCUUCCGCAAUGGGCGAAAGCCUGACGGAGCAACGCCGCGUGAGUGAUGAAGGUCUUCGGAUCGUAAAACUCUGUUAUUAGGGAAGAACAUAUGUGUAAGUAACUGUGCACAUCUUGACGGUACCUAAUCAGAAAGCCACGGCUAACUACGUGCCAGCAGCCGCGGUAAUACGUAGGUGGCAAGCGUUAUCCGGAAUUAUUGGGCGUAAAGCGCGCGUAGGCGGUUUUUUAAGUCUGAUGUGAAAGCCCACGGCUCAACCGUGGAGGGUCAUUGGAAACUGGAAAACUUGAGUGCAGAAGAGGAAAGUGGAAUUCCAUGUGUGGCGGUGAAAUGCGCAGAGAUAUGGAGGAACACCAGUGGCGAAGGCGACUUUCUGGUCUGUAACUGACGCUGAUGUGCGAAAGCGUGGGGAUCAAACAGGAUUAGAUACCCUGGUAGUCCACGCCGUAAACGAUGAGUGCUAAGUGUUAGGGGGUUUCCGCCCCUUAGUGCUGCAGCUAACGCAUUAAGCACUCCGCCUGGGGAGUACGACCGCAAGGUUGAAACUCAAAGGAAUUGACGGGGACCCGCACAAGCGGUGGAGCAUGUGGUUUAAUUCGAAGCAACGCGAAGAACCUUACCAAAUCUUGACAUCCUUUGACAACUCUAGAGAUAGAGCUUUCCCCUUCGGGGGACAAAGUGACAGGUGGUGCAUGGUUGUCGUCAGCUCGUGUCGUGAGAUGUUGGGUUAAGUCCCGCAACGAGCGCAACCCUUAAGCUUAGUUGCCAUCAUUAAGUUGGGCACUCUAAGUUGACUGCCGGUGACAAACCGGAGGAAGGUGGGGAUGACGUCAAAUCAUCAUGCCCCUUAUGAUUUGGGCUACACACGUGCUACAAUGGACAAUACAAAGGGCAGCGAAACCGUGAGGUCAAGCAAAUCCCAUAAAGUUGUUCUCAGUUCGGAUUGUAGUCUGCAACUCGACUACAUGAAGCUGGAAUCGCUAGUAAUCGUAGAUCAGCAUGCUACGGUGAAUACGUUCCCGGGUCU
Molecule: ribosomal RNA, 1372 nt
Filed under: uncultured bacterium
Lineage: Bacteria
Description: bacterial SSU rRNA
Rfam family: Bacterial small subunit ribosomal RNA
Source: RNAcentral